AACGAACGCUGGCGGCGUGCCUAACACAUGCAAGUCGGGGGAGAAAAGGGGCUUCGGUUCCUGAGUAAACCGGCGCACGGGUGAGUAACACGUAGGUAACGUACCUUCGAAUCCGGGAUAACCAGUCGAAAGAUUGGCUAAUACCGGAUACGACCGCGAGGACCUCGGUUCUCGCGGUGAAAGAUGGCCUCUGCUUGCAAGCUAUCAUUCGAAGAGCGGCCUGCGCACCAUUAGCNCGUUGGUGGGGUAACGGCCUACCAAGGCUGAGAUGGUUAGCUGGUCUGAGGAGGAUGGCCAGCCACACUGGGACUGAGACACGGCCCAGACUCCUACGGGAGGCAGCAGUGGGGAAUACUGCGCAAUGGGCGAAAGCCUGACGCAGCGACGCCGCGUGGGUGA
Molecule: ribosomal RNA, 399 nt
Filed under: uncultured bacterium
Lineage: Bacteria
Description: bacterial SSU rRNA
Rfam family: Bacterial small subunit ribosomal RNA
Source: RNAcentral